Molecule: ribosomal RNA, 460 nt
Filed under: uncultured bacterium
Lineage: Bacteria
Description: partial 16S ribosomal RNA
Rfam family: Bacterial small subunit ribosomal RNA
Source: RNAcentral
CCUACGGGAGGCAGCAGUGAGGAAUUUUGGUCAAUGGACGAGAGUCUGAACCAGCCAAGUAGCGUGAAGGAUGACUGCCCUAUGGGUUGUAAACUUCUUUUAUAUGGGAAUAAAACAGGGUAUGCAUACCCUCUUUUAUGUACCAUAUGAAUAAGGAUCGGCUAACUCCGUGCCAGCAGCCGCGGUAAUACGGAGGAUCCGAGCGUUAUCCGGAUUUAUUGGGUUUAACGGGAGCGUAGGUGGAUGGUUAAGUCAGUUGUGAAAGUUUGCGGCUCAACCGUAAAAUUGCAGUUGAAACUGGCAGUCUUGAGUACAGUAGAGGUGGGCGGAAUUCGUGGUGUAGCGGUGAAAUGCUUAGAUAUCACGAAGAACUCCGAUUGCGAAGGCAGCUCACUGGACUGCAACUGACACUGAUGCUCGAAAGUGUGGGUAUCAAACAGGAUUAGAUACCCCGGUAGUC